GUGAUUUAUUGGCAGACUGCUGCAAACGCCAAGGACGAUCUACCACUUUAUUUUAUAAUUAAACUUCUUGCUGCGCGGAGCAACACUAAAGGAUUUAAACGUUUAAUUCCCCUAUCUCAUGAGGUAGCAGAACUUUUCUCGUGGAAGGGAACUGGUACCAAAAGCAGCGCUAUUGGUUUGGCAACGACUGCGG
This is a long non-coding RNA of Rhagoletis zephyria (snowberry fruit fly), 193 nucleotides long. RefSeq lists it as uncharacterized. The record is from RefSeq and is a predicted model, not a curated record. Lineage: Eukaryota; Metazoa; Arthropoda; Insecta; Diptera; Tephritidae.